AUACUUAUCUGGCAGGGGAGAUACCACAAAGUUGGUUUCCCCAGGGCGAGGCUCACCCAUUGCACUCUGGGUGUGCUGACCCUGAAAUUUCCCCAAAUGUGGGAAACUCGACUGCAUACUUUGUGGUAGUGGGGGACUGUGCUCACACUCUCCCCUG
Suncus etruscus (white-toothed pygmy shrew) is the source of this 157-nucleotide small nuclear RNA. RefSeq annotates it as U1 spliceosomal RNA. The record is from RefSeq and is a predicted model, not a curated record. NCBI's taxonomy places the organism in Eukaryota, Metazoa, Chordata, Mammalia, Eulipotyphla, Soricidae. The transcript has a single exon.